This 244-nucleotide ribosomal RNA is filed under the name uncultured bacterium. RNAcentral describes it as "partial small subunit ribosomal RNA". It matches the Rfam family "Bacterial small subunit ribosomal RNA", at positions 26 to 285 of the family's 1533-position model. The record is from RNAcentral.
AGAAUCAACGCUGGCGGCGUGCCUAACACAUGCAAGUCGAACGAGAAAGUGGAGCAAUCCAUGAGUAAAGUGGCGACCGGGUGAGUAACACGUGACUAACCUACCUUCGAGUGGGGGAUAACCUCGGGAAAACCGAGGCUAAUACCGCAUAACAUCGUGAGAUCAAAGCAGUAAUGCGCUGGAAGAGGGGGUCGCGGCUGAUUAGCUAGUUGGCGGGUAAUGGCCCACAAGGCGAAGAUCGGUA